RNAcentral lists this unclassified non-coding RNA (528 nucleotides) under uncultured Microcystis sp. RNAcentral describes it as "partial contains 16S ribosomal RNA and 16S-23S ribosomal RNA intergenic spacer". The stretch from base 1 to 119 matches the Rfam family "Bacterial small subunit ribosomal RNA", at positions 1415 to 1533 of the family's 1533-position model. The record is from RNAcentral. Lineage: Bacteria; Bacillati; Cyanobacteriota; Cyanophyceae; Chroococcales; Microcystaceae.
CCACGCCCGAAGUCGUUACCUCAACCGCAAGGAGGGGGAUGCCUAAGGCGGGGCUAGUGACUGGGGUGAAGUCGUAACAAGGUAGCCGUACCGGAAGGUGUGGCUGGAUCACCUCCUUAAAGGGAGACCUAAUUCAGGUAGGAGACGAAAAAAAAGUAGUCCCUACCAAGAAUCAAUCCCAAAAGGUCGGAGCGAGGCAAAAUUGGCUUUCAAACUAGGUUCUGGGUUCACACAAGACCUGAAUCAGGAACAAGGGCUAUUAGCUCAGGUGGUUAGAGCGCACCCCUGAUAAGGGUGAGGUCCCUGGUUCGAGUCCAGGAUGGCCCACCUGUACAGGUGGCAAAAAGAAAGAAAAGAAGCGAGGAAUCAGCACCUUAUCUUACUUAUAUAGUAAGAGAGAAUGCUGGCUCUGAGUAAAGAGUCCAGAGGAACCUUGAAAACUGCAUAGAGCUAGGUGAAAAAGCCAAAAAAGAAGACCGCAAGGUCAAGCUAAUAAGGGCUAACGGUGGAUACCUAGGCACACAGAGG